RNAcentral lists this ribosomal RNA (484 nucleotides) under uncultured bacterium. RNAcentral describes it as "partial 16S ribosomal RNA". It matches the Rfam family "Bacterial small subunit ribosomal RNA", at positions 28 to 507 of the family's 1533-position model. The record is from RNAcentral.
AUUGAACGCUGGCGGCAUGCUUUACACAUGCAAGUCGAACGGCAGCGCGGGCUUCGGCCUGGCGGCGAGUGGCGAACGGGUGAGUAAUGCAUCGGAACGUGCCCAGUAGUGGGGGAUAGCCCGGCGAAAGCCGGAUUAAUACCGCAUACGACCUGAGGGUGAAAGCGGGGGACCGAAAGGCCUCGCGCUCUUGGAGCCGCCGAUGUCGGAUUAGCCCGUUGGUGGGGUAAAGGCUUACCAAGGCGACGAUCCGUAGCUGGUCUGAGAGGACGACCAGCCACACUGGGACUGAGACACGGCCCAGACUCCUACGGGAGGCAGCAGUGGGGAAUUUUGGACAAAGGGGGCAACCCUGAUCCAGCCAUGCCGCGUGCGGGAAGAAGGCCUUCGGGUUGUAAACCGCUUUUGUUCGGGAAGAAAUCCUCUGGGCUAAUACCCCGGGGGGAUGACGGUACCGGAAGAAUAAGCACCGGCUAACUACGUG